AGGGAUUUAGCUUAGUGGUACAGUCGCCUGCCUCACAAGCGGGAGGUCCUGAGUUCAAUCCCCAGUACCCCCC
Molecule: transfer RNA, 73 nt
Filed under: Fukomys damarensis (Damara mole-rat)
Lineage: Eukaryota; Metazoa; Chordata; Mammalia; Rodentia; Bathyergidae
Rfam family: tRNA
About the family: Transfer RNA (tRNA) molecules are approximately 80 nucleotides in length. Their secondary structure includes four short double-helical elements and three loops (D, anti-codon, and T loops).
Source: Rfam by way of RNAcentral